CAUGCAAGUCGAGCGAAGCUUUUCAGUAGUUUACUACAGAAAAUGACUGAGCGGCGAACGGGUGAGUAACGCGUGAGCAAUCUACCUUAGUUACAGGGAUAGCCCGAGGAAACUCGGAUUAAUACCUGAUAUUCUUUAUUUCUCGCAUGAGAAUAAAAGGAAAGGUCAGCCGAACUAAGAUGAGCUCGCGUUCUAUCAGCUAGUUGGUGAGGUAAAAGCUUACCAAGGCUACGACGGAUAGCUGGUCUGAGAGGACGAUCAGCCACACUGGGACUGAGACACGGCCCAGACUCCUACGGGAGGCUGCAGCAGGGAAUAUUGUGCAAUGAACGAAAGUUUGACACAGCGACACCGCGUGUGGGAUGACGGAUCUAGGUUUGUAAACCACUUUCAGGAGGGAAGAAAAUGACGGUACCUCCACAAGAAGCCCCGGCCAACUACGUGCCAGCAGCCGCGGUAAUACGUAGGGGGCGAGCGUUGUCCGGAUUUAUUGGGCGUAAAGAGCUCGUAGGCGGUUCAACAAGUCGGUAGUAAAAGUUCAGGGCUCAACCCUGAAAUGUCUAUCGAUACUGUUGUGACUAGGAUACGGCAGAGGUGAGUGGAAUUCCGAGUGUAGCGGUGAAAUGCGUAGAUAUUCGGAGGAACACCAAUUGCGAAGGCAGCUCACUGGGCCGCUAUCGACG
This 683-nucleotide ribosomal RNA is filed under the name uncultured bacterium. RNAcentral's name for it is "bacterial SSU rRNA". It matches the Rfam family "Bacterial small subunit ribosomal RNA", at positions 54 to 745 of the family's 1533-position model. The record is from RNAcentral.